RNA transcript from Talpa occidentalis (Iberian mole), 1536 nucleotides. It is a transcript of the gene named ADP-ribosyl cyclase/cyclic ADP-ribose hydrolase 1-like, with no coding region annotated. The transcript has 7 exons. Lineage: Eukaryota; Metazoa; Chordata; Mammalia; Eulipotyphla; Talpidae. The record is from RefSeq and is a predicted model, not a curated record.
UAUCCUGUGAGAGCUUCACAGUCACCCUGUGGAGCAUGUAGGUCAGAGGCCAACAUUCCCUUUUCACCAGUGAGAAAACUGAGGGGACCUUGACGAAAACUCGCUGCAUUUGUUCAUUUCCUGUGUGUGUGAAGAGGGCAGACUGGGGAAAGAAACAGAGAGGCUGGACCUCUAAGCAUCAAGGAGCUCAUCUCCCAGAAAUAGCCUGUAGACAAAAGGGCUUGCAGAUCCUUCAGGAACUCUGAAUCUCCUGAUGCCUCCUCCAGAUGGUUCCCAUCUCAGAUUUGUUACAAGAUUUUCUGAGUCCUUUUUUGGAGCAAAACAGAAGAACUGACACAUCAUUACAAGAAGGCUGGAGGGAGGCUGUUCUUGAUGAGGGAAGUGCUCCUGGGCCACGUUGCUGAUAUCCUCACAUGGUGUCGAAACCAAAGCUCUUCUGGUGUGAAUCUUGACUCUUGUCCAAAAAAGGAUGAAACCUGCCAUGAUAAUGCUGCAGGUGUAUUCUGGAACGUGUCAUCCAAAUGGUGUUUUUAGAAGUGUGGAAGUCCCUAAUUUGCCUUCAGAGGUUCGUGCACUACAUGCCUGGGUGAUCUAUGACCGCGGAGUACCUGUCAGGAACUUGUGCUCAGGCGCCUCCAUAAAACAACUGGAAUUGGAUUUAAGACCAGACAUUGUAUUUACUUGUGAGGAUAUGGACAGGGAGACAUUUCUUCAAUGUGUGGAAAAUCCUGAGGGCUCACAAUGCAAAUCUGUAGUAUGAGACAGUGCCGUGAUCUGUUCAGUUCUUUGCACUCUUGCUGUCCAUCAACAUGCCUGACUCAGGACACACACUGCUGGGGAGCUGAGGAUUUGAGGGGAGCUGCUGUCAUUGUGUCAACACUGGAGAAGACCCUUCUCCCCAAUGUUAACAUAGUUUUUGUUUUGAUGUCCUAAUAUUCAAGAAAAAAUUAUUGUAUAAUAUUAGAAUGAAAAUGUUAUGUUGAGUUAUUUCAUUUUAAUGUUUGUAUGAAGGGUUUAUGUUGGGUAUCUGUGGGCAGCCUCCUUUAUAAAAAUGAGCACACUUUUCAAUAUGGUGCAUAUUGGUACUGUCAUGUCAAGGAAGACAAAUACCCAAGCUUUCCAGAAAGUGUCACAUUCCAUAUGAAGGGUCUUGGGUCAGGGACAUUUGUGAACCCUUUAGGAUCUAUUGAUAGUCAGACUAUAAAUGCCACUAUUAUGGUCAUGCUGGGAAAAGUAUUCCGUCGUGUAUGAGCUUCCCAGUGCUUGGUGCGCUACACCAUGAGAUUGAUGUUAUUAUCUCCCAUUUGUUAGAUGAGAAAAUGGAAGUUCAGAGAGAUUCUAUCAUUUGUCUAAUGUCAUAAUUUAGUUCAAGGAAAUGGAUGAUUUUGAACUCGGGUCUGUGGGACUCCAAAGCACAUGUGCUCUCUAUUUUGAGGAUUAAACCACAAAAUUUAAAAGUGCCUUAUGUUUUCUACCAGUAAGUGCCUGUGAGAUUAAAUACAAUAAAAUCUGGAAUGAGAUUUUUCUGAAUGACUU